GGGUCAGAUUGUCGGUCGUGCCUCGGUACGCACUGGCAUUAUUGGUUCCUACCUUCUGAAGAACCGCGAUGUCAUUAAUUUGGUGUCGUGGGGAAUCAGGACUGUUACUUUGAAAAAAUUAGAGUGUUUAAAGCAGGCGCACGCUUGAAUACAUUAGCAUGGAAUAAUGAAAUAGGACGUUUGAUUCUAUUUUGUUGGUUUCUAAGAUUGACGUAAU
Molecule: ribosomal RNA, 217 nt
Filed under: Dominikia sp.
Lineage: Eukaryota; Fungi; Glomeromycota; Glomeromycetes; Glomerales; Glomeraceae
Description: partial small subunit ribosomal RNA
Rfam family: Eukaryotic small subunit ribosomal RNA (bases 38-217)
Source: RNAcentral